UCCCCUUUUCUUUUUUUUUGAAUUUCUUUUCUUAAAAAAGGUUUAAAUGAAACUUUUGAAGCUUUUACAAAACUUUUUAGGGGUUGGAGUAAAAAGAAGAAUUGUUCCCCAUGAAAUUCCCUACAACUUUGCUUUAAUAAGUGAAGCCAAAUUCCAAAUAGAAUUUGAAUCACAUAUUAAUACUAUUUCUAGGUUUUUAAAUAAAUUCAUUUUAGGG
RNAcentral lists this long non-coding RNA (217 nucleotides) under Sorghum bicolor (sorghum). Its description in RNAcentral is "long non-coding RNA (SBIC_LNC014317)". The record is from RNAcentral. Lineage: Eukaryota; Viridiplantae; Streptophyta; Magnoliopsida; Poales; Poaceae.